This is a long non-coding RNA of Melitaea cinxia (Glanville fritillary), 456 nucleotides long. RefSeq lists it as uncharacterized. The transcript has 3 exons. NCBI's taxonomy places the organism in Eukaryota, Metazoa, Arthropoda, Insecta, Lepidoptera, Nymphalidae. The record is from RefSeq and is a predicted model, not a curated record.
UUUUUGUUACAGCAAGUUCCAAUAGUGCAAAAUGACAUUAAUAACUGACCAAUCGAAAAACCUGGAUUAUACACAACCCUUGUUAAAAAUCGUUCAAGGUAACAAUUUAAAAGAAGAUUCUCAACCAGCAGGACCCCAUCAUAUGGAAUCACCAGAGAUUGUAACAGCUAAUAAUGUCAUUAUCUCGAACAUGUCUCCACCAUCAUGUGUUACACUAGAAGAGAUCCAUGCUCAUUUUCACUCAAUACUGAUCCAAGGAUGGUGUUAUUUUGCUUGUGAUGAAGAGUUGAUAUUAUAUAAGAUAUGAAUUUUACUAUUUCCAAUAAUCUUUCAGUGAAGGUUUCUUUCUCUCAACAACCAGAAAUUGUUAUUGAUACUACAUCAUCUAUAGAAGAUAUAAAAAUGUAUAUGGAAACUCUGCAAGCGACUAUUUUAUGUAAAGGAACUGACAUACAC